GCUAGGGGGCGGGAAAGGCCGGGGGUACCCCAGGGGUAGGGGCGAAAUCCGAUAAUCCCUGGGGGACCACCAGUGGCGAAAGCGCCCGGCUGGAACGCGCCCGACGGUGAGGGGCGAAAACCGGGGGAGCGAACCGGAUUAGAUACCCGGGUAGUCCCGGCUGUAAACGAUGCGGGCUAGGUGUCGGGCGGGCGUUAGAGCCCGCCCGGUGCCGCAGGGAUGCCGUUAAGCCCGCCGCCUGGGGAGUACGGCCGCAAGGCUGAAACUUUAAGGAAUUGGCGGGGGGGCACACAAGGGGUGGAGCCUGCGGCUCAAUUGGAGUCAACGCCGGGAACCUCACCGGGGGCGACAGCAGGAUGACGGCCAGGCUAAUGACCUUGCCCGACGCGCUGAGGGGAGGUGCAUGGCCGUCGUCAGCUCGUGCUGUGAAGUGUCCUGUUAAGUCAGGCAACGAGCGAGACCCCCGCCCCUAGUUGCGACCCUGUGGGCGACCGUGGGGGCACACUAGGGGGACUGCCGCCGCUAAGGCGGAGGAAGGAGGGGGCCACGGCAGGUCAGCAUGCCCCUAAACCCCCGGGCUGCACGCGGGCUACAAUGGCGGGGACAGCGGGAUCCGACCCCGAAAGGGGAAGGCAAUCCCUGAAACCCCGCCGUAGUCGGGAUUGGGGGCUGAAACUCGCCCCCAUGAACCUGGAAUCCCUAGUAACCGCGCGUCAACAUCGCGCGGUGAAUACGUCCCUGCCCCUU
This 747-nucleotide ribosomal RNA is filed under the name uncultured Caldococcus sp. RNAcentral describes it as "partial 16S ribosomal RNA". It matches the Rfam family "Archaeal small subunit ribosomal RNA", at positions 591 to 1338 of the family's 1478-position model. Lineage: Archaea; Thermoproteati; Thermoproteota; Thermoprotei; Desulfurococcales. The record is from RNAcentral.